This 379-nucleotide ribosomal RNA is filed under the name uncultured eukaryote. RNAcentral describes it as "partial 18S ribosomal RNA". It matches the Rfam family "Eukaryotic small subunit ribosomal RNA", at positions 592 to 976 of the family's 1831-position model. The record is from RNAcentral.
CAAUAGCGUAUAUUUAAGUUGUUGCAGUUAAAAAGCUCGUAGUUGGAUUUCGGAUGGGAUUUGCCGGUCCGUCGUUACGAUGUGCACUGGCCAGUCCUAUCUUGUUGUCGGGGACUAGCUCCUUGGAUUCACUUCCUGGGACUAGGAGCUGACGAGGUUACUUUGGGUAAAUUAGAGUGUUCAAAGCAAGCCUACGCUCUGAAUACAUUAGCAUGGAAUAACACGAUAGGACUCUGGCUUAUCUUGUUGGUCUGUGAGACCAGAGUAAUGAUUAAGAGGGACAGUCGGGGACAUUCGUAUUUCAUUGUCAGAGGUGAAAUUCUUGGAUUUAUGAAAGACGAACUUCUGCGAAAGCAUUUGUCAAGGAUGUUUUCAUUAA